AAGGCAGCAGGCACGCAAAUUACCCACUCCCGGCACGGGGAGGUAGUGACAAAAAAUAACGAUACGGGACUCAUCCGAGGCCCCGUAAUCGGAAUGAGUACACUUUAAAUCCUUUAACAAGGAUCCAAUGGAGGGCAAGUCUGGUGCCAGCAGCCGCGGUAAUUCCAGCUCCAUUAGCGUAUAUUAAAGUUGUUGCGGUUAAAAAGCUCGUAGUUGGUUCUGCGUCCCACGAUGCUGGUUCACCGCCUGACGGUGCAACUGGCAUGCCGUGGGAUGUCCUGUCGGUGGUGGCCUUGGCCCACGGCGCGUGUAGGUACUAUACCGAAGCACGUCGUGUGUGUCCAAGGAUCGCCGAUCCAAUCCUGCCUCGGUGCUUUUUAUCGAGUGUCGAGGUGGGCCGACACGUUUACUUUGAACAAAUUAGAGUGCUCAAAGCAGGCUAAUUAUGCCUGGAUAUUGGUGCAUGGAAUAAUGGAAUAGGACCUCGGUUCUAUUUUGUUGGUUUUCGGAAUCCGAGGUAAUGAUCAAUAUGGACAGGCGGGGGCAUUCGUAUUGCGACGUUAGAGGUGAAAUUCUUGGAUCGUCGCAAGACGGACUAGAGCGAAAGCAUUUGCCAAGUAUGUCUUAGUUGAUCAAGAACGAAAGUUAGAGGUUCGAAGGCGAUCAGAUACCGCCCUAGUUCUAACCAUAAACGAUGCCAGCCAGCGAUCCGCCGAUGUUCCUCCGAUGACUCGG
RNAcentral lists this ribosomal RNA (735 nucleotides) under Ambrysus californicus. Its description in RNAcentral is "SSU rRNA". It matches the Rfam family "Eukaryotic small subunit ribosomal RNA", at positions 422 to 1079 of the family's 1831-position model. The record is from RNAcentral. Lineage: Eukaryota; Metazoa; Arthropoda; Insecta; Hemiptera; Naucoridae.